GUUUUAAAAACAGGCGUUUCCCUGCACAAGCUCUCUUCUCUUGCCUGCUGCUGUGUGAGACGUGCCUUUCACCUUCCUCCAUGAUUAUGAGACCUCCCCAGCCAUGUAGAACUGUUGCAGGACAGUGAUGAUGGCUGGGUCCAGAGUCGCAGCCUCCUCCCUCUCAGAAGCUACCCAUUCUGUUAAGAGGCCACAGACAACCACGUUCCUAAUUGUGCAUCCCUCCUUGGGCUUCAGCUCCACUGGCAGAGAGCAGAGAAGAGGAGAAAAGAAGAAACAGCUGAAUGUCGGAGAGAAGCAGAUUGAUUUCAGAGAGACGGCUUGAUGGCGUGACUUCAGAGUUCAGUCCAGCCAGAAAUGACUGUUCUUCACGGGAAGAAUACUUUCCCGCUCCCUCCCCUUUCCAACUCCCCUUCCCACUGAGUGCCACCUCCAUGGGCAAUAAAGUCCUCUGCAUUCACCACCCUUCAA
Molecule: long non-coding RNA, 471 nt
Filed under: Homo sapiens (human)
Lineage: Eukaryota; Metazoa; Chordata; Mammalia; Primates; Hominidae
Description: HSALNT0307857
Source: RNAcentral